This 253-nucleotide unclassified non-coding RNA is filed under the name Cryphonectriaceae sp. Its description in RNAcentral is "partial contains 5.8S ribosomal RNA, internal transcribed spacer 2, and large subunit ribosomal RNA". The record is from RNAcentral. Lineage: Eukaryota; Fungi; Ascomycota; Sordariomycetes; Diaporthales; Cryphonectriaceae.
CGCACAUUGCGCCCGCUGGAAUUCCAGCGGGCAUGCCUGUUCGAGCGUCAUUUCAACCCUCAAGCCUGGCUUGGUGUUGGAGCACUACCCGUUACACGGUAGGCUCUGAAAUUCAGUGGCGGGCUCGCUAAGACUCUGAGCGUAGUAGUUUUACCACCUCGCUUUGGAAGGAUUAGCGGUGCUCUAGCCGUAAAACCCCCCAAAUCUUCUGAAUUUUGACCUCGGAUCAGGUAGGAAUACCCGCUGAACUUAA